CAAUGGAUGUAUAUUUGCAUGCAGCUGUUCAUCAUACGAUGGACGAUAUGCUGUGCACCAUACCAUAUAGUGCACAGCAGAGAACUCGAGCACGCUAUAGUUUUGUUUGUUAUGCCAACACCAAGUGCUAGCGUAUCAUGUGUCUCAUCAUGCUGGAACUACCCAACAAAGUGUACAUGAUGGCUGACCAGAAAGAAGCAUGAUGAUAGUUAUGGCCUCAUAAUUUGAUAAUAUUAUUUAUUACUUGAUUUUGCUUGUAUGAUUGCACACCAAAUAAAAGGCUG
Molecule: long non-coding RNA, 284 nt
Filed under: Elaeis guineensis (African oil palm)
Lineage: Eukaryota; Viridiplantae; Streptophyta; Magnoliopsida; Arecales; Arecaceae
Description: long non-coding RNA (EGUI_LNC078266)
Source: RNAcentral